Molecule: non-coding RNA, 390 nt
Organism: Lonchura striata (white-rumped munia)
Lineage: Eukaryota; Metazoa; Chordata; Aves; Passeriformes; Estrildidae
Source: RefSeq, a predicted model, not a curated record
UGCGCGCUCUGCUGCAGUGGAACACAGCAAAGGUGUCUUGCCAGCAGCAGCACCAGUAGAAGCAGAAAAGGAAGACUGUGAUUCCUCCUGGGAUUCUGAGCCUUUUUCUGCAAUUGUAGAAGACGUGUUUGCCAGUGGGCGGCGUCCUGCUGCAGACCACAAAGGAGUGGGUGUGCGCUCUCUUGCAGCAGAGCGCAGCAAAGGAGUCUUGCAACCAGCAGAAAAAUCAGGAGAGGAUGAUAAUUCUUCUUGGGAUUCUGAGACUGAUUCUGAAGGUGAAGGGAAAGUGUUGGCUGCUGUCCAGCUUGCUGCUGCAAAGAGCAACAGGUCGGAUGUGUGCUCUGCUGCAGUGUUACACAGCAAAGGGGUCUUGAAACAAACAUGGAAAAA